UCAAUUUUAUUGUUCCAUUUCACUCUGUGAAGCUUCUGCCUCUCUUCCAUGCCCCUACCCACAUGUGAACAUCCUUCAUCCUUCCUCCUGCUCGGCCCCACAGCAUCUCUGCUGCCACUCUAUUUGCAAGAGCAACGUCCAAACCCAAGAACAGGCAAUGAGCAGAUGUUGCAUUACUGCUGCUUGAGAUUUCUGCAUGGUCUUAGGUGUGCGGCCAUCUGGGGCAGACUGUGGUUUGGGAGAGGUGGUAGCCUCGGAGGCUGAGCAGAAGUCAUAGCGACAAACAGGCAUCUGUUAGAAUCACAGCCCCGAUGACUGCCCCUCCUCUACGGGGGCAGGAAAUGUCGCCGUACGCUGGGUACGUGCUGUACGUUUCAGUCAGAAAAAGCAACGUGGAGCCUUGCAGAUGCAGGGUGCUUUUAGAAAUGAAGACCCAGAGGCACGUGUCUGAGGAUGUGCGUUGCAGGUCUGUCUUACGGGAAGAGGCAAAUCUCUCGGAGCAGAUGCAAACAUGCAAAAAUUCCCCUUGGAGCUGUGCCACCAAUUUACCCACAGAAGGGACUUGGAUCCUGUGCUUGGGAUUACCCCUGACCAUCUUUGCUGUGCUGGUGUAAAACCAGGCUGGUUUGGACCUUUCCCUCCUGGGAUUUUGGAGCAGUUCCUCCUGCAAAUGCAUCUUCUUGGUGAGGGACCGGGCAGCCUGCACCUCAUGCCCUUGGAAAACAUGAAGCUUUGGUUAGGUGCGGCUUUAUGAUUGUCCUGUCCAGGCUGGGAACAUGCAUCUCAGGUGCUCUUUGGCACUGGGAGCCAGCAGCAAAGUCAGCUUGCACCCCCACUCUGAAACUCUGUCCUCCCCGAUCGCAUCCAAGCUGCCUGGGAGGAAGGUCUCCGGCCACGCCGCUGAGUGGGACGCUCUGAAGGGCUGGGACAAAGUCCGGUGCUGCUGAUGCAAUUGCAGCAGAACUGCAGGUUUUACAGAAGCGGCAGAUAUUUUAAAUUCUGAUAUUUUAAAUCUGGUAUUUUAAAUAAAAAUAAAUAAAUCUGAUAUC
Cygnus olor (mute swan) is the source of this 1049-nucleotide long non-coding RNA. RefSeq lists it as uncharacterized. The transcript has 2 exons. NCBI's taxonomy places the organism in Eukaryota, Metazoa, Chordata, Aves, Anseriformes, Anatidae. The record is from RefSeq and is a predicted model, not a curated record.